This 28-nucleotide non-coding RNA is filed under the name Bombyx mori (domestic silkworm). Lineage: Eukaryota; Metazoa; Arthropoda; Insecta; Lepidoptera; Bombycidae. The record is from RNAcentral.
UCUCAGUCAUUCGAGGGAUAGGGUACAC